RNAcentral lists this long non-coding RNA (1968 nucleotides) under Helianthus annuus (common sunflower). RNAcentral's name for it is "hypothetical non coding rna". The record is from RNAcentral. Lineage: Eukaryota; Viridiplantae; Streptophyta; Magnoliopsida; Asterales; Asteraceae.
AUUUUAGUAUCGAAAUUAACCUCAACCACACUAACUCCUUGGAAGCGUGAUCUUUGUUGCCAGACAUACUCCGCCAGAAUAACACUACACGGCCACACGAACAAUCCAUAAUCUUCUUUCAUGCUCUGGGAAUUAAUGGAAGUACCUCGAUGACGGUGAUGGAGAUGGCGUCAUCGGAGCCGUUUGAGUCUCCGAAAUAGUGAUGAGAUAUGGUGGUCAUGUUUUCUGUUGCCGGAAUUUCCGGUGAGCCGCCGCCGUCGCUGUUGUUGGCUUCCAUGGAGCCGCCGCGCUGAGAAUGGCCCGGUGGUCGGCGGUGAAUUUUACUUUUCGUGUGAAGGUUAUUUUGAUAAUUUCAUGUUAACAUUUUAGAUUUACACUAUGUUCCCGAGUUUCAUUUAACAAGGGAAGAGAAAGGAAUUAAAAGGAAAAGAGUAAAAAAUGUGUUCCAGAGAUUUUUUAGAAAGGGAAGUGGUGAGAAAAGAAAGGAAACAAGGGGAUGAUUGAUGCAAAUAUUCAUCCUCCCAAUUUGGAGAGAUUUGGUGAGAAAAGAUUAUUAUAAAUCUUAGACUUUUUUAAAUUUCCUAAAUUACCCUCUAAUUCAUUAUAAAUAAACUUUCUUUUCUUUUCCUCCCAACUCGGGAACACAUAAAAUGUUUAAUUUCCUUUCAUUUCCUUUUCUUUUCAUUAAACUCGGGAACACGAAUAUAAUCACAUCUUUUCCUUUCCAUUCCCUUAUAAUUUCUCUUCCUUUCUCUUCUAUCGUUAAAUGAAACUCGGGAACACAGUGUUAGAGUAAAUUGUCCAAAUUAGUUCAUGAGGUUUUUUCUAAAUUUACCAAUUUUAGUAUAAAUAUAAAUUAUUUUUUUUUAUACUGGGCCUGACUUUUCUUUUUUAUUGUCAUUUUGAUUAUAUACCCUAACUUUAUUCAUAAACCUAUUUUUAAUCAGGGUGUUUUGAGGAUUUUCAAUUUAAAUAUUUCCAGAUGCUCGAUUUUAUGGUGUAUUUUUUUAAAAUAAUGUCAUAUAAAAAGAAAGGUUAUGGAUGUUUAAAAAAUGAGGGGAUGGGGGAGGAUUAUACAUAGUGAAGAAAGAAAGUCAACAAAUAAGUUUUUCCAAGAAUGCAUUUGCACUCCUUUUUUUUCUACUUUAACUUUAUUUUUAUUUUUAUCGUAUUUAUACAAAAUUAACUUUUUUCAUUGAUCGUACCCCUAGAUAUGGUAUACCAGUCAUAAUAUACACGACUUGUAUCAUGUCAAAAUAUCUAUCAAUAAUGGUUUAUAAUUAUCCGGUGGUUUGUUAAAUCGUGUCAAAAGUGGAUUUAAAAAAUAGCUUUAUUUCCUGACAAAAAUAAUUUGUUAACAAGGGAGAUGAUCAAACAGUGAGUUUACUUUGUAUAGGAAGUGUAGAAAACAAUAAUAGGAGGAAAUGUGACAAAUAACAAAAAAACAUGGGGAUGAACGUUUUAGUCAAUCUCAUCUCAUCUUCUAUUUUUCUCUUUCCCCGUAUCCUCGAAACCCACCAUUUUCAAAGCCCAUUAUCUUCAACAUUUUUUCAGUUUCUCUCUCUAUAAUCAAUACAUAAUUUUGCGAUUUUCUUCGUCAAUCAAUGAUUUAAACACUCAAAUAACGCGUUCUUCAACUUUUUUGAAUAAACCCAGUUUUUUUCUAGUAAUUUUGAAGCAAAUCACUCGAUUUGUUCUAUUCGAUCGUUGAUCAGUGUUUCUAGCAUUCAAAUUUCGUCAAUCAUUGAAGAAAUCAUAAGAAAUCGGAUUUGAUCUCUGUAAGAAAUCUGAAGAAUUUCAUCAAUCAUUGCGUUUUACAAUCCGGGUUUUCAAAUCAUAUUUUAGAGAAAGACAUUUUUUUUGUCUUUAGUCAAUUGCGUUUUAGAAAAAAAACACAUAUUUUUGUGUUUUUAGUUUAUUGCGUUUUAGAAAAAUACAUUUUUGUGUUUUUUUUUUGUCCAUUGCGUU